ACGGGAGGCAGCAGUGGGGGAUAUUGCACAAUGGGGGAAACCCUGAUGCAGCGACGCCGCGUGAGUGAAGAAGUAUUUCGGUAUGUAAAGCUCUAUCAGCAGGGAAGAAAAUGACGGUACCUGACUAAGAAGCCCCGGCUAACUACGUGCCAGCAGCCGCGGUAAUACGUAGGGGGCAAGCGUUAUCCGGAUUUACUGGGUGUAAAGGGAGCGUAGACGGCGAUGCAAGUCUGAAGUGAAAGGCGGGGGCUCAACCCUUGGACUGCUUUGGAAACUGUAUUGCUAGAGUGCAGGAGAGGUAAGUGGAAUUCCUAGUGUAGCGGUGAAAUGCGUAGAUAUUAGGAGGAACACCAGCGGCGAAGGCGGCUUACUGGACGAUAACUGACGUUGAGGCUCGAAAGCGUGGGGAGCAAACAGGAUUAGAUACCCUGGUA
RNAcentral lists this ribosomal RNA (434 nucleotides) under uncultured Clostridiales Family XIV bacterium. RNAcentral's name for it is "bacterial SSU rRNA". It matches the Rfam family "Bacterial small subunit ribosomal RNA", at positions 341 to 792 of the family's 1533-position model. The record is from RNAcentral. Lineage: Bacteria; Bacillati; Bacillota; Clostridia; Eubacteriales; Clostridiales Family XIV. Incertae Sedis.